This 920-nucleotide long non-coding RNA is filed under the name Gallus gallus (chicken). Lineage: Eukaryota; Metazoa; Chordata; Aves; Galliformes; Phasianidae. The record is from RNAcentral.
GGAGCGCGUGCCAACAAAUGAGUUUGCCAUAGAAUCUAUCAGUUGUCCACUGACACCAAAAUCACAAAGCUUGAUCUCACCUCUAGAGUUUACCAAGAUGUUAGAUGGUUUAACAUCUCUGUGCAUUAUUUUAUGCUUUUCUCUCAGAUAUGUGAGUCCUUUUAUUACUGCAAUGCUGACUUUGCCCAGUAUCUGCUCUGGAAUUCUUCCAGCCUUUUUCAGCACUUGAUCCAAUGAGCCACCAUCCAUGUGUUCCAUGCAAAUGCUGAUUUCCCCAUCGCUGUAAAAAGCUCCAUAAAAGCCCACUAUGUAUGGUGAAUUGCACUCAUGUAGAACCUGCAGCUCACGGAUGAUCUGGUUUCGAAUAGCUGGCUUGAUUUCUAGAUGAAUCAACUUUCUUGCCAUGAUGAGGCCAGAAGGCUUGUGAGAUACUUUGAACACCACCCCACCAUUCCCUGCUCCCAGCUCACUGAUCUUCUCGAAGUCAUCAUCCUUCAGCUCCCCAACUUUUUGUUUCUGGGUAAGGAAAGCUUCAAGGCGCUUCCUUUGCUGUUCAUCCAGCUCUAGCUCUUCCAGCUUCUUCUGAAGCGCUUCCAAGUUUGUCUCGGCAGAGCUGGUCCCGUUGACGGCGGAGCCAUCCGGAGCGGGGUUGAGCUGGAUCGGCCCUGGCUUCUUCUUGGGCAUGUUGCCCCCCGGCCAGCGCAGAGCGUGACGGACGGAGCGGCCGCGGCCCCACUUCGGCCAGGUCCGACGGACUUCCCGACGCGAAGCAAACUUCGGGGCCGCCCCUCAGCGCCGGAGCAGCGCGCGGCCGCCUCCCCGAGAAGGAGCCGAGCCCGCGACGCUGCCGCUCCGGCACAGCGCGGCCGUCGACCCGGCCUGCCCGGCGGAGCGACACCGAGCUCCGCACCGACAGCUCC